This 356-nucleotide transfer-messenger RNA is filed under the name Candidatus Saccharimonadota bacterium. It matches the Rfam family "transfer-messenger RNA". Rfam says of the family: Bacterial tmRNA, also known as 10Sa RNA or SsrA, is named for its dual tRNA and mRNA-like properties. Its role is to liberate the mRNA from a stalled ribosome. To accomplish this part of the tmRNA is used as a reading frame that ends in a translation stop signal. Lineage: Bacteria; Candidatus Saccharimonadota. The record is from RNAcentral.
GGGGCUGACAAAGCUUAGACGGAUUAUUAACAGAUAUCAGGCGUGUCGAUUGAAUACCGUAAGUAUUAAAUAAGUGAAAACACUGAAUCUGCGCAUGUUGCAUACAUGCCAGCUUUUGCCUAAUUUAUAUCUAUAGGCUGGUCUUCAUCUGAGAUUCCGUAGGACGGAGAUUAUCAUACAACGGAAAUAAGGUUAUCUAAUUGACAAGAGAUGGCUCGAAAAUACAGUCAUGGCGGCCUUCAGUUUCGUUAUCUGCAGCUGAUCGCAUAAGCCGAGAUUGAAACAGAGAACUACGCACGUAGAAUGAUAUCCAGGUGAUUUUUCGGACCCGGAGGCAGUAUCCGGCAGCUCCACCA